Long non-coding RNA from Phyllostomus discolor (pale spear-nosed bat), 733 nucleotides. RefSeq lists it as uncharacterized. The record is from RefSeq and is a predicted model, not a curated record. Lineage: Eukaryota; Metazoa; Chordata; Mammalia; Chiroptera; Phyllostomidae. The transcript is spliced from 3 exons.
GCCUCCUGGCUCGACUGAAGUACCGUGCCAGUUAAGAGAAGGUAAAUUUGUAGCAUUAGAGCACUGGCAACUUCAUGUGCAAAGGGAAAAAGGAACUGCAAUAUGAACACCAGUAUUUCCUUCCUCACGCACCCUGAAAAUGAGGAAGACAAACAACAUGCAUGGAAAAACAAAGUAGACAAACAGCAUUUACAGCUAUAAUGUCAGAACGCUGUCCUCCUUGCGUGCAACAAAAAUUCUGACUUCCACGGAUAAAAGUCUUCUUUAAAAGAAAGGGUUUAUUAGGCCACGGCUAGCAAGAAAAAGAAGACAGGUCCUGGGGCGUGGCGCCUACGCCACCAGCAUCCGUUCUGGAGUUGGCAAGAGUUUUCACACAACACGUCCUUUAAAUUGCAUGGAUCGGUUUAAACAACACCAAAAGAGUAAACAAAAAUGCACAAACAAGAAAGGUAAUUUAAGCAUGCAGCAUAGCUCCACUGUGCCAUAGCAAGGACAGAAGUCUGCCACCUGCUGACAAAAGUGAUAAUUGUACAGGCUUCCCGGAUUGACAUUUCAGGUAAGGUUCAUGACACUAGAUUUCAAAUUAAUUAUUAUAUCAAAGACGUAAAUUACAGCCUCUAAUUUAAAAGAGAAUAAAGGUGAAAAGGAUUCAAGAUUACAUACAUGCUUCUUUUCACAAAAAAUAUUCCUUGAUCAUUUAUUUAAUCCUCAGCUGAGGACAUGCUUAUGGCUU